This 68-nucleotide transfer RNA is filed under the name Marmota monax (woodchuck). Its description in RNAcentral is "tRNA.Ala". Lineage: Eukaryota; Metazoa; Chordata; Mammalia; Rodentia; Sciuridae. The record is from RNAcentral.
GGAUUGUGGCUCAAUGGUAGAGUGCUUGCCUUGCACAUGUGAGGCACUGGGUUCAAUCCUCAGCACCA